RNAcentral lists this ribosomal RNA (2328 nucleotides) under Moneuplotes crassus. Its description in RNAcentral is "small subunit ribosomal RNA". The stretch from base 570 to 2021 matches the Rfam family "Bacterial small subunit ribosomal RNA". Lineage: Eukaryota; Ciliophora; Spirotrichea; Euplotida; Euplotidae. The record is from RNAcentral.
UUGCUUGUUCAGUACGCAACUUACCCCGUAAACCUGCUAAACCGUUCAUCCUGUUUGGGGUUUUGAAACCGCACAUUGUUGCGACUACGUCAACAGCCGUUUUUAUUCAUUUAUUCCCGAAAUAGGCCUCGUAUACUUUUUUCUUUUAUCGGCGCUUCCCGUACAUUGUUUUUUAUUGUGAGCGCCUCCUUUCGCCUUUUCUCGAGAUUGUUAUUUUCGACUACGGUACGCUCAGUAAUUAAUAAAUCACCUUACAGCGCAACUGCUCUUCUUUUACGAAAUCGAGUACUUCAUCCAGAUAUUUGAUAUAAGUUUUUUCUUAAUUUUUUUAAAUUUUUUCCGGCUCGUUUGUUUUCCUUUAUGUUUGCUGGGCGAUAUAACCUUAUUCAGCCCUUCAUGUCAACUAUGAUUUUAAUGGCACGUUUGGGGACUGUUUUCUUCAAACCAACUGUAUCCUUUAUUGCACCUAAAGUUAAAAAACGACGACGUAUUAAAAAAAAAAAUACGUAAAAAACUCUUUAUUAGGCGCACUGUAUAAUUAAUUUGUGUCCUUGUGGAUAAUAUCAUUCUUUUUUAUGAGUUUGACUCUGGCUCUGGAUGAACGCGAGCAACGUGUUUUGACACAUGCGAGUAAUAUUUUAUCUAUUAAGAUACUGCGAACGGGUGAGUAAUAUUGGGUGUUUUUUUUUCAUUUUUGUGCGUAACUGCGCUUAACCAACUUGGUCGAAAAAUGAAUAUCUUCUUGGAUUAAACGUUAGUUCUUACUAGUUGAUUAUUCCUAGUUAGGUUGAGAGAUUAUCUAAUCACAUAGGGACUGAAAAGGGCCCUACCAUCGGCAGCAGUGGAGAGUAUUGGUCAAUGAGGUUUUUACCUUGAACCAGCGCUUUGCGGGGGUGAAUGUUUUUUAAACAUAGACGGCUAUGGUAGCUGUAAAACCUAUGCGCGAGUUAAAGUAAUGACUGUACUCGAGGAGAACUCCGGGCCAACAACGUGCCAGCAGCCGCGGUAAGACGUUGACGGAGAAGCGUUAUCCGUCGUGAUUGGGUGUAAAAACAGCUAGGCUGCUAAGUUAUUCGUUCCAGAAAGAAACUUCUUUAAGGUUUGUAGAACGCUUAGCUUAUGCUUGGGUUAGUUGGACGUUUGUAGAAUCGUAAGUGGAGCGGUAAAAUGCUUAGAUAAUUGCGGAAUUUCCGAAAUGUGGCAAGGCGACCUGCGACAACUAACCGACGCUGAACUGUUAAAGUAUAAGUAUCAAAGAGGAUUGGAGACCCUCGUAGUUUAUACCCUGAAUAAUGAAUGUCAAUUUUUAAAGUUAGCUAACGCAUGAACAUUCUGCCUGAAGAGUAAGGCCGCAAGGGCUAAAUUUAAAGAGAUUGGCGGGAGUUUAGAUAAAUGGUGGAAUAUGUGGUUUAAUUCGAUAAUCCGCGGGAAACCUUACCAGUGUACGGCGCCAAAUUAAGAUAACUAUGUGUCUAGUCUUAUCGAUAUUUGUUUCGUUUAGGUACUGCAUGGCUGUCAUCAGUUCGUAAUGUAGGUAUAUUUCGAACACAAUCUUUAAUAACUACUAGGUAGGUCAUAUUUACUGUGUGGUUUGAAACAUUGCAACCACCGGUUCUAUUUAUUGUAGUUUUUUCGUUUAUUUUUAAGUGAAUUGGGAGGAGAAGUCAAGUCAUUAUGGUCUUAAUAUGCUGGGCUACACACGUAUUACAGGGCUAAAGACAAUGAAUUUCGCCUUAAAGCGGUUAUUUUCUAAAAAUUAGCUCGGUUCGAAUCGUUCUUUGAAAUUGAGGAACGUGAAGUAGGAAUCAUUAGUAAUCGCAAAUAAGAUCGCUGCGAUGAAUCUUUAUAUACUUUGCACACACCGCCCAUCAUAUUCGAAGAGUUGUCGCGGUUUAAAGAUUUACGCUCGUCUCUUUACGCGAAGUGUAUUGUAGAUUAGUUUAUCUAAAAACGUGGUGGCGAUUUGGAUGAAGUUGAAACAAGGUAAUGGUAGGGGAACCUGUUGUUGGAGUACUCAAUAAUUAUUAAAUGUAUUUUAUUUGUGUUUUUUUGUAGUGUUCCCAAGCACUGAAGGGAUACCUUUUUGUAUGUUAUGUUAUGUGUUAAGAACACUAAAGCUUAGGUGAGUUUUAGAGACACGAUCUCAAGCUUAAAUAACUUGAUCCGAUUAAGAGAAACAUCUUACUAGUCGGUUAACAUACCAACCGGAUAUUUGUGAGUAGUGGCGAACGAAAUUAAAUAAACCGUAUAUUACUGUAAUGUCCUGUACACUUGAUAAUUUUGGAAUGAUUAUACCGUAGUGGGUGAAAGUCCUUUAAUGUGUUUUUA